Serinus canaria (Common canary) is the source of this 740-nucleotide long non-coding RNA. RefSeq lists it as uncharacterized. The record is from RefSeq and is a predicted model, not a curated record. The transcript has 3 exons. Lineage: Eukaryota; Metazoa; Chordata; Aves; Passeriformes; Fringillidae.
AGUAAGCAAGGCAGAGAAGCAAGAGGCAAAAGUUAUUCAAGGCAGCAGGACACAGAGGUACUUGCUGAAGAUCUCCUACUGUCACAGCUCACCAUGAAAAUCAGCACUGCAGUAGCCACUGGCAUUGCUGUCCUAUAUUUUUGAGGAAAAAUGGGGAUCAAGUGAAACUGCAGCCAUUCUUGGGAGGAACCCUUAACUAAAUUCCAGACAAAAAGGACACAGUUACUCUGGCAGAAAACUGAUGUAAAGGAGCACAUCUGUCAGAUGCAACCAUGAGUUUCAAUGAUGGGCUUCAUCUCACAGAGGAGCAGCAUUACUCAAGCAGUGUCUUGCCUUGUCCUGGUUCUCCUCAGAACUCUGGUCAGCAAAGUUCACAUCCCAGCCCAGCUCUCAGCCAACAGGUCACUGCAACAGAAGCAGGGCUUGUGUUUGGGGGUUUGGGCUCUGGCCAUUCCCACCAGAGACUCAAAUGGAAUCUGAAAGUUGCAGAUCUGUCACAAGCACUUCCCCUUCUGUGGUUUCCUUGAUGCUUCCAGCUCAGCAAAACUGGAAAACCCUGGCAUAAUUUCCCUGUCAUGAUGCACUUAUUUUCUCUCCUUGAAAAUCUGGGUGAAUAGGAGGGAAGUAGCAGCAGGGACUGAGCAUUGUGAAGAGGAAAACCCUGCAGCCACCCCAGCUCCAGCCCCACCUGUGAUCCCUCAGGCACUGCAGCACCAUGAAGUUCACAGAAACAAAUUGAA